GAUGAAGAACGUAGCGAACGUGCGAAACGUAAUGUGAAUUGCAGAAUUCAGUGAAUCAUCGAAUCUUUGAACGCAUCUUGCGCUCCUUGGUAUUCCGAGGAGCAUGCCUGUUUGAGUGUCGUGAAUACUCUCAACUUCAACCCUUUUUUCGGAAAGGAAGGAAGGUUUGACUUGGGUGUUUGUUGAAGUGCGAGCUUCGACUCAUCCUAAAUGCAUUAGCGAUCUGCCUCGAUCACACACAAUGUGAUAAUUAAAACUAAAGCAUUGUUUAAUGAUCAAGUCGAGACUGCUUCUAACUGUCGCAAGACAAUAACGUGCAUACAUUUGUGCAUGUCAUUUGACCUCAAAUCAGGUAGGACUACCCGCUGAACUUAAGCAUAUCAAUAAGCGGAGGA
RNAcentral lists this unclassified non-coding RNA (395 nucleotides) under soil metagenome. Its description in RNAcentral is "partial contains 5.8S ribosomal RNA, internal transcribed spacer 2, and large subunit ribosomal RNA". The stretch from base 1 to 121 matches the Rfam family "5.8S ribosomal RNA", at positions 35 to 154 of the family's 154-position model. The record is from RNAcentral.